RNAcentral lists this ribosomal RNA (253 nucleotides) under uncultured bacterium. RNAcentral's name for it is "partial 16S ribosomal RNA". It matches the Rfam family "Bacterial small subunit ribosomal RNA", at positions 524 to 776 of the family's 1533-position model. The record is from RNAcentral.
UACGUAGGGUGCGAGCGUUGUCCGGAAUUAUUGGGCGUAAAGGGCUCGUAGGCGGUUUGUCGCGUCGGGAGUGAAAACACACAGCUUAACUGUGUGCUUGCUUCCGAUACGGGCAGACUAGAGGUAUGCAGGGGAGAACGGAAUUCCUGGUGUAGCGGUGAAAUGCGCAGAUAUCAGGAGGAACACCGGUGGCGAAGGCGGAUCUCUGGGCCUUACCUGACGCUCAGGUGCGAAAGCGUGGGGAGCAAACGGG